AAUUUCCAGCAACAAUUCUAUUUUGUUAUAUUGGCAGAACAGAGUUAUCUCGUUUGUCCCCUCCUGUUGUUUUGCUUCCAUCUACUCUUCAAACAUACAGAAAGAAGAGGACAAUUUUGUCCUUGUACGAAAUUAAAACUAAGCUAUUUUAAUUUGAUGCACUCAUUUAUUCUGCACUUGUUCUUCCAACCAAAUGCUAAAACACUAUUUAUUUUGUGGAA
This 221-nucleotide long non-coding RNA is filed under the name Phoenix dactylifera (date palm). Its description in RNAcentral is "long non-coding RNA (PDAC_LNC018418)". The record is from RNAcentral. Lineage: Eukaryota; Viridiplantae; Streptophyta; Magnoliopsida; Arecales; Arecaceae.